This is a long non-coding RNA of Macrobrachium nipponense, 400 nucleotides long. RefSeq lists it as uncharacterized. The record is from RefSeq and is a predicted model, not a curated record. The transcript has 3 exons. NCBI's taxonomy places the organism in Eukaryota, Metazoa, Arthropoda, Malacostraca, Decapoda, Palaemonidae.
GAGCGAAAACGGCGACGAGGAGCCAGGCAGCCCGGCCGUCAGGCAGUCUCAGAGAGAGAGACACAGAGAAGAGAGCAGAGACCUCACUCACCUGGGAAGGUUCCUACAAUUUUGAUUCGUCCGACAUGCCUGUCUUAGGCUAAAGGCUUUUAUUGGGAUCCCUGGUCUACGUCAUCCUCUUGAGAAAAUUCUGCCAAAAUCCAUCUGCAACGCCUUUGUGCAUGGUUCGACAAUGGUGAUUUAGCUCUCGGACUAGUAACUCUAGCUUAUUCAUAAAUUCACCUUGUUAACACUUGGACAGCGAGCGAAGCAGAACGAAGGGAACGCCCUACGAUCUACGUGAAUUGCCUUGUUAUCCUACCAAUUGUUUGUAACUACGGUCCUACGUCAUUUUAAAGGC